GACGAACGCUGGCGGCGUGCUUAACACAUGCAAGUCGAACGCUGAAGCUCAGCUUUUGUUGGGUGGAUGAGUGGCGAACGGGUGAGUAACACGUGAGUAACCUGCCCCCUUCUUUGGGAUAACGCCCGGAAACGGGUGCUAAUACUGGAUAUUCACUGGUCUUCGCAUGGGGGUUGGUGGAAAGGGUUUUUCUGGUGGGGGAUGGGCUCGCGGCCUAUCAGCUUGUUGGUGGGGUGAUGGCCUACCAAGGCUUUGACGGGUAGCCGGCCUGAGAGGGUGACCGGUCACAUUGGGACUGAGAUACGGCCCAGACUCCUACGGGAGGCAGCAGUGGGGAAUAUUGCACAAUGGGCGCAAGCCUGAUGCAGCGACGCCGCGUGAGGGAUGGAGGCAUUCGGGUUGUGAACCUCUUUCGCUCAUGGUCAAGCCGCAACAAUGGUUGUGGUGAGGGUAGUGGGUAAAGAAGCGCCGGCUAACUACGUG
This 483-nucleotide ribosomal RNA is filed under the name uncultured bacterium. RNAcentral's name for it is "partial 16S ribosomal RNA". It matches the Rfam family "Bacterial small subunit ribosomal RNA", at positions 28 to 507 of the family's 1533-position model. The record is from RNAcentral.